UUGGCCCUAAAUCAAGGCUGAUGGCUUCCUGUGGCCUUCGGCUUCAAGCAGGAGCCUAAAUAAAUCUCUACCUGUGGUCUGAUGGCUUUCUCUGUACUCUGCAUGAGCCAGUCAUUUCAAUUGGGAGAAACAUUA
Bombina bombina (fire-bellied toad) is the source of this 135-nucleotide small nucleolar RNA. The record is from RefSeq and is a predicted model, not a curated record. Lineage: Eukaryota; Metazoa; Chordata; Amphibia; Anura; Bombinatoridae.